ACAGAUUCCCUUGGAUGGGCAAACGGUAUUCAGGCAGGACUACCAUUUCCGGGAGGGGGAGACCGGGGGAAGCAGGUCAGGACUUGAGGCUCAUAACCAUGCUGCACUGAUUUGUUUAAAAGUAAAUAUUAUUUGGUUUUCAUUUAAUUUUAAACAAAAUUUAAAUUUUUAAAUGAAAAUUAAAAUGUUCACUUAAUUUGAGUUAUUAGAUUAAAAGAUAGUCUGCUUUACUGAAAGUCUUAGGCUGGAAAACAACAAAGUCGUUUGUGAAAAUAUUUAAAUAAGAAGAGAACAGCAAUCAUAACAGGAAUCUAAGGGGACUGUGAGUCUUGCAUUGGCACAUCUCAGCGCGGUGGAGACUUCUAAAGAGGGCUCUAUGGAUAGAGUCCUUCAGGGACCACCACCCGCCCCCAUGCCCAACGCUGAGGAGGACACUCCAGCAGGGAUCCACCAGGUGGCUGUAAAGCUAAGAAGGUGACCUCCUGGGUGUCCCUCCUGAAACACAGAGCACCGUUUGAACUGCCCGAGCGAGCGGACCAGCUGGCGCACAGAUCACAGAGCCCUGCAGUGAUCAGCUGCCAUCUGGAUCUGCCCGGGUGCAAGCAAACGGCACAGCUCUGGAAGCUUCCUCAGGGCUCCAAGAGAGCAUCUGCGUGUUGGGAAGCCUCGGAUGUGCUGCAAGACCUUUGUUCUGACUGUGGCAAAGCCUAUGUAUGCUAGGUGUCACAUUGAAUUCUUUUCUAUUAAUAAUAACUUAUCUGAGAUUCUGCGCGACUGUCGCUCUAGAAUCUGCAUUUAGGAAUGAUCAGCAUCAGUGCUGAGUGCCUCGGAGUGGGACAUAGAUUUAGGCAGAGAUGUGGGAAGCAGCCAUCAGUGAAGGACGAUGCUGUGAUUGGUGGCUGGAACCCACAAGUAGACACCAAACUGCUAACAGGGUGGUCCUGGAGGUAGAUGUCUAGGCAAGCAGCCAAGAUCAGUCAUUUAGAGUCCAUGCAGGUCUGACUUGAGACAGUGAAUUUUGUAGAACUCCAUACUCAUUCUGAAGUGAUUUUGUUAUAGGCAGUCAGCUCUACCAGAGGCCUUUGUCCAGACUAUCUGAAAGGCACCCAAUGCAAGGGCUGCAAACCUCAACAGCAGAGGACUUGUGCUGAAACCCUUCCGAAUGCAUUCUCUAGACUGGCCAACUAAUGUGUCUUCUUUGCUGUCCAGCUCCAAUCUCCAUCAGGUUGUCUUUUUAAAAAAAAAUCCAAGCCUUUGCCCUGCCAAGCACCAGGAAAAGCAUGAUUUGCACAUUUGAGAGCUAACGAAAACAGUCCAUCCGAGUGUCCUAGUGAAUCUGCAGCCCAGAUGGGCUCACGUUUCCCUGUGUACCCCACAUGCCCACUGAGCCCCGAAGUGGUUGCCCAGACCCCUUACCCAGACCCCGGGCUGAA
RNAcentral lists this long non-coding RNA (1433 nucleotides) under Homo sapiens (human). Its description in RNAcentral is "non-protein coding lnc-GPR137B-10:1". The record is from RNAcentral. Lineage: Eukaryota; Metazoa; Chordata; Mammalia; Primates; Hominidae.